Molecule: long non-coding RNA, 430 nt
Organism: Phragmites australis (common reed)
Lineage: Eukaryota; Viridiplantae; Streptophyta; Magnoliopsida; Poales; Poaceae
Exons: 2
Source: RefSeq, a predicted model, not a curated record
UUGUAGAUUAUCCCUGCACCAGUUAAAGUUGGAGAAAACGAACCCCCACCAUCCUGGGACCUUGUACCCUCUCCAAGAGCUAGUAAAUGCACUGUCGGAGCUUAUCAGCAGGCCAUUACCGGAACAUGCUUGACAACAUUCAGGAUUUAGUUCUUUAUUUGGCAUCGGACCAUAGGAAGGAUGUAUGGAAACAUGACGCUUUUAUGCUGGGCCGCUGGUGCACUGCCAAAGGCAAUCUGCAUUUCUCGCAUUUAAGUUUUAGAACCUGACCAUCUUGUUGAAAUGUUGAGCCAGCCAUAAAAAUCUAAUAUUGAAACCCGAGGAGGCCGUUGUGUCCAUAUUCUGCUAAUAACGACACAUAUUGCUGGAGGGGAUGGUUGGUGCAUUGUUAAGAACCGAGGGUAACUUAAUAUCAACUGAUGAUUUUUCA